Molecule: ribosomal RNA, 445 nt
Filed under: uncultured soil bacterium
Lineage: Bacteria
Description: bacterial SSU rRNA
Rfam family: Bacterial small subunit ribosomal RNA
Source: RNAcentral
CCUACGGGUGGCUGCAGUCGAGAAUCUUCCGCAAUGCACGAAAGUGUGACGGAGCGACGCCGCGUGAUUGAUGAAGUCCUUCGGGACGUAAAGAUCUUUUAUGAGGGAAGAAGUUAUUGACGGUACCUCAUGAAUAAGGGGCUGCUAAUCUCGUGCCAGCAGCAGCGGUAAUACGAGAGCCCCGAGCAUUAUCCGGAAUUAUUGGGCGUAAAGGGUGCGUAGGUGGUUGUAUUAGUCUUGUGUGAAAGCCUGUCGCCUUACGACAGAUCCGCACAGGAAACGGUACGACUACAGAGGGUGUAAGAGGUGUACGGAACUCAUGGUGUAGGGGUGAAAUCCGUUGAUAUCAUGGGGAACACCAAAAGCGAAGGCAGUACACUGGUGCAUACCUGACACUGAAGCACGAAAGCGUGGGUAGCGAAUGGGAUUAGAUACCCGAGUAGUC